RNAcentral lists this ribosomal RNA (497 nucleotides) under uncultured bacterium. RNAcentral describes it as "partial 16S ribosomal RNA". It matches the Rfam family "Bacterial small subunit ribosomal RNA", at positions 28 to 507 of the family's 1533-position model. The record is from RNAcentral.
GAUGAACGCUGGCGGCGUGCCUAAUACAUGCAAGUCGAGCGAACGGACGAGAAGCUUGCUUCUCUGAUGUUAGCGUCGGACGGGUGAGUAACAUGUGGAUAACCUACCUAUAAGACUGGGAUAACUUCGGGAAACCGGAGCUAAUACCGGAUAAUAUUUUGAACCGCAUGAUUCAAAAGUGAAAGACGGUCUUGCUGUCACUUAUAGAUGGAUCCGCGCUGCAUUAGCUAGUUGGUAAGGUAACGGCUUACCAAGGCAACGAUGCAUAGCCGACCUGAGAGGGUGAUCAGCCACACUGGAACUGAGACACGGCCCAGACUCCUACGGGAGGCAGCAGUAGGGAAUCUUCCGCAAUGGGCGAAAGCCUGACGGAGCAACGCCGCGUGAGUGAUGAAGGUCUUCGGAUCGUAAAACUCUGUUAUUAGGGAAGAACAUAUGUGUAAGUAACUGUGCACAUCUUGACGGUACCUGAUCAGAAAGCCACGGCUAACUACGUG